This 354-nucleotide ribosomal RNA is filed under the name uncultured Thiobacillus sp. RNAcentral's name for it is "bacterial SSU rRNA". It matches the Rfam family "Bacterial small subunit ribosomal RNA", at positions 1019 to 1382 of the family's 1533-position model. The record is from RNAcentral. Lineage: Bacteria; Pseudomonadati; Pseudomonadota; Betaproteobacteria; Nitrosomonadales; Thiobacillaceae.
AAAGGGAAUCGGAACACAGGUGCUGCAUGGCUGUCGUCAGCUCGUGUCGUGAGAUGUUGGGUUAAGUCCCGCAACGAGCGCACCUUAUCAUAGUUGCUACGCAAGGGCACUCUAAUGAGACUGCCGGUGACAACCGGAGGAAGGUGGGGGAUGACGUCAAGUCCUCAUGGCCCUUAUGGGUAGGGCUUCACACGUCAUACAAUGGUCGGUACAGAGGGUUGCCAAGCCGCGAGGCGGAGCCAAUCCCACAAAGCCGAUCGUAGUCCGGAUUGUUCUCUGCGACUCGAGAGCAUGAAGUCGGAAUCGCUAGUAAUCGCAGGUCAGCAUACUGCGGUGAAUACGUUCCCGGGUCUU